Mauremys mutica (yellowpond turtle) is the source of this 1882-nucleotide long non-coding RNA. RefSeq lists it as uncharacterized. The transcript has 3 exons. NCBI's taxonomy places the organism in Eukaryota, Metazoa, Chordata, Testudines, Geoemydidae. The record is from RefSeq and is a predicted model, not a curated record.
UCUUCCAAAAUUUGCCAGCCCCCCUGCGAAUUUUUCAUGUUAUCUUUUUGAGCAAAUUGAUUUUUCAUUUUCACUUUGUAGGCCUAUUUUUUUUUAAAUUUGGUUCAUCUGUGAUAUGAAAUUGUGUCUUUCUUAACUUUAGGUAAAGUCUGUUUUUCUGGAGCAAUGUUAUUGCUUCUGUCUCAUAGAAAUAAAGUAUGAUUUUAAAAUUCAGGACUUAAAAAGUAAAGAUAUUUGCAUGUCACAUGUCAUUUCUUUGUGCAAGAUCCAGGCCCUGAUUGCUCCCUCCUUCCAGGCAGAUCUUAGAGGAUGUUGACAGCAUUUUCAGCUGCAUGCUGGUAAAUAUUGGGUUAGUGCCUGGAAUCAACAUAGUGGAGACUGAUCAGAGAAUUUCAACUGAAUGCCUCUGUAGCAGAGGACACAGCUAGUAAAAAACAGCAGUCCAGAGAGGGAUGGUCUUCAAAUUUGAAAAAGCAAAUUAAGUAAAAUAUUCUUUUUGCUGUUUGUGUUCCUCUGUGUUGCAGAUAGAAGAUUAUGGAACCUUUUCAUUUUAGUGAUGAAAAACAAGAUGAAUUCAUAUGUAACUGGUAGGAUGCCAAAGCCAGAGAUGACAGCACUCCUGAGGGAAUGAGGGGCAGUAAGGAAGAUAAAAGGCCUGCCCUUUUUCGCAGUAGGCUGACAAUCAUGAUAUUGCUUAGUGACAUUUUGUGAUGGGAACAAAAAGGCAACUAGGCGAUGAGGCCAGCAAACUCAUUUCACUUGUAUCCAGUGGAAGCCUCCAGAGGGAAAAGCCAGUGCAUGGCCUGGUGCAUUGCAUGAAGAAGGACAAGAGGAGUCUACAAUCUCUUCAAAGUUCUCCUUCCGGCAUCAGUUCUCUCCUAGGAAGAGAUUGCUAGUGCAGUUUUGAAUAUGUCAGAGGUAGUUUCUUCAUCUUUGGUGUUACCAGCACAUCUGAAAAGUCCAAUAGCUCAAUAUGUAUAGAAGGUAUCUGGGAAGGGAAUUGUUGGCCUUUUGGUGACCUCUGGCACCUGAAACUCUGCUGAUUUAGUAGUUUCCCACAAAAGUGCAAUUUGUGCUGCAGUGUGGUAUAAGCCAGUAAACCCGUCAAGUGUCUUGAACAUUUCAGCUGAAUGGAUUGACAGCCAUAAAACGAACACUGGAAUAUACACUCAGAUCUCUCUUUCUACAUUAAAACACUGCAUUUAGCUGCAAGGAGCCUUUUCCAGACUCCAUAUAAUUUAUCAUAAAACCAGCCUCAUAUUCUGCUUUGGAAGUGAGGAACAUAUAUUAAUUAAUUGCUAUGCAGAUCUCAUGUUCCAUUUAUAGCCCAUAGGAUUUUAGGAUUUAGUAAUGGGUGAAAACUGGGCAUUUGUGUUCACCUCCACACCCUCCAUGUAACAUUCAAAAUUAGUCAGAUUUAUUCCUCCAGGGAUUUACUGUCUUACACCAUGCUCCAGCACAAACUGCCCCGCUCUGAUUAGAAAAACUCUUCUACUCCAUAGGAGUAUUAUCUGAGCAUUAUUGCAGUGUAUUUUGUUUCCACUUGAUAAAUUACCUACACAUUAGGUGUUCCAUACAGUAGGUCCUGUAAUUCUUGUUAUAUUUAAGGCACUUUGUGAUACAUGGGAGAUAAUUAACUUGCACCAUUUUUAGUGCAAAAAUAUAUGUUGAUCUAGGUCACAUGACAAAUGUAACCAUUCAGAGUUUAAAAUACUAUUAUUUAAAAUUUAUUUUCUUCUCAAAAUGGUUUAUGAAAUUAUCAUAAUUUGAAUAAUUCACAGCAUAGUUAGACUAUAUUAUAUCAUAGAAUCAUAGAACUUAAGAUCAGAAGGGACCAUUAUGAUCAUCUAGUCUGACCUCCCGCAAAAUGCAGGCCACAAAA